Molecule: ribosomal RNA, 497 nt
Filed under: uncultured bacterium
Lineage: Bacteria
Description: partial 16S ribosomal RNA
Rfam family: Bacterial small subunit ribosomal RNA
Source: RNAcentral
GAUGAACGCUGGCGGCGUGCCUAAUACAUGCAAGUCGAGCGAACGGACGAGAAGCUUGCUUCUCUGAUGUUAGCGGCGGACGGGUGAGUAACACGUGGAUAACCUACCUAUAAGACUGGGAUAACUUCGGGAAACCGGAGCUAAUACCGGAUGAUAUUUUGAACCGCAUGGUUCAAAAGUGAAAGACGGUCUUGCUGUCACUUAUGGAUGGAUCCGCGCUGCAUUAGCUAGUUGGUAAGGUAACGGCUUACCAAGGCAACGAUGCAUAGCCGACCUGAGAGGGUGAUCGGCCACACUGGAACUGAGACACGGUCCAGACUCCUACGGGAGGCAGCAGUAGGGAAUCUUCCGCAAUGGGCGAAAGCCUGACGGAGCAACGCCGCGUGAGUGAUGAAGGUCUUCGGAUCGUAAAACUCUGCUAUUAGGGAAGAACAUAUGUGUAAGUAACUGUGCACAUCUUGACGGUACCUAAUCAGAAAGCCACGGCUAACUACGUG